This 468-nucleotide ribosomal RNA is filed under the name uncultured bacterium. Its description in RNAcentral is "partial 16S ribosomal RNA". It matches the Rfam family "Bacterial small subunit ribosomal RNA", at positions 28 to 508 of the family's 1533-position model. The record is from RNAcentral.
GACGAACGCUGGCGGCGUGCUUAACACAUGCAAGUCGAACGGAAAGGCCCUGCUUUUGUGGGGUGCUCGAGUGGCGAACGGGUGAGUAACACGUGAGUAACCUGCCCUUGACUUUGGGAUAACUUCAGGAAACUGGGGCUAAUACCGGAUAGGAGCUCCUGCUGCAUGGUGGGGGUUGGAAAGUUUCGGCGGUUGGGGAUGGACUCGCGGCUUAUCAGCUUGUUGGUGGGGUAGUGGCUUACCAAGGCUUUGACGGGUAGCCGGCCUGAGAGGGUGACCGGCCACAGGGGGACUGAGAGCGGGCCCAGCCCCCGAGGGGGGGCAGAGGGGGGAAAUAUGGAACAAGGGGCGGAAGCCUGAUGCAGCACCGCCGCGGGGGGGAGGGCGGCUUUGGGGUUAAAAACCGCUUUCGCUGGUGACGAAGGGGGGGGGAGGGUAAGGGAAAAAAAAGCCCGGGCUAACUACGGC